GUUUACUCCGUGCAGCUCGAGCCCUCGCUCGGAGGCUGUUUAUUAUGAGAGCUCGCGCUGAGCGAGGAGCUGGGUUACAGCAUGUGGAUGGAGCUGAAGAACAGGACCAGCACAGUUUAUGACGAGCUGCGAGACGGAAACCUGUCUCAGGUGCGAUAGCUGCUGCGCUGUUCAUAAGCUUCAUUCUGGCUCUCUAUACAGUUCUGUGGAAAUGCAUGGUCUCCCCACCCAGAAGGUGAGAGAGAAGAUGAUAUAUAGGUGGAAUCCUUGUUUUUUCACUAAUUAGGUUAAUAUAUAUGCAAAGUAUGAUAUAUGCAAAAUAUGAGCUGUGAACAAUAAUUCAGUUAAAAUACUCAAUCUAAGUGUAAACUGGGAGGUCUUCACUGUGGAAAAUCCUAAAGCAAGCAUAUUGUCUAUAAUACCCUGAAAAAAUCUCCAAAAUGAUAUAUUUACAAGACAUUUUUUAUUUUAAUUGUAAUAAUAUACAGCUCUGGAAAAAAAGAGACCACUUCAGUUUCUGAAUCAAUUUCUCUGAUUUCGCUAUUUAUAUGUAUACGCUUGAGUAAAAUGAACUACGGACAACACUUCUCCCAAAUUCCAAAUAAAAGCAUUUAUUUGUAGAAAAUAAGAAAUGGC
Molecule: long non-coding RNA, 636 nt
Filed under: Astyanax mexicanus (Mexican tetra)
Lineage: Eukaryota; Metazoa; Chordata; Actinopteri; Characiformes; Acestrorhamphidae
Description: lncRNA (ENSAMXG00005007400.1)
Source: RNAcentral